Molecule: ribosomal RNA, 435 nt
Filed under: uncultured bacterium
Lineage: Bacteria
Description: partial 16S ribosomal RNA
Rfam family: Bacterial small subunit ribosomal RNA
Source: RNAcentral
AGCGAACGCUGGCGGCAGGCUUAACACAUGCAAGUCGAACGGGCUUCUUCGGAAGUCAGUGGCAGACGGGUGAGUAACACGUGGGAACGUGCCCUUCGGUUCGGAAUAACUCAGGGAAACUUGAGCUAAUACCGGAUACGCCCUUUUGGGGAAAGGUUGACUGCCGAAGGAUCGGCCCGCGUCUGAUUAGCUUGUUGGUGGGGUAACGGCCUACCAAGGCCACGAUCAGUAGCUGGUCUGAGAGGAUGAUCAGCCACACUGGGACUGAGACACGGCCCAGACUCCUACGGGAGGCAGCAGUGGGGAAUAUUGGACAAUGGGCGCAAGCCUGAUCCAGCCAUGCCGCGUGAGUGAUGAAGGCCUUAGGGUUGUAAAGCUCUUUUGUCCGGGACGAUAAUGACGGUACCGGAAGAAUAAGCCCCGGCUAACUUCGUG